RNAcentral lists this long non-coding RNA (1680 nucleotides) under Fragaria vesca (wild strawberry). RNAcentral describes it as "long non-coding RNA (FVES_LNC000705)". The record is from RNAcentral. Lineage: Eukaryota; Viridiplantae; Streptophyta; Magnoliopsida; Rosales; Rosaceae.
CAAAAAUUACUACAAGAUAUUUCCAUAAAAACAAACAAACAAUUAUUAGAAGAUUAAAGCUUAAGCAUAAACACUUUCCAGAAACUCGAAAAAGUAAUCGAACAAGAACACAACAUUCGAAUUGUAGAAUAACAACCCUCUACAAAUCCAAUUCCAUAAUCAAAUAGAAGAAACCAGAGAUCCAUCCCUAAUUCCCAAAAUUUCCUUCAAGUCAUCGACCAGAUCUGGUGCUUCUUGAUCGGAAUCCAUCGACGUGAUCGCGUACUUCUCAAUUGGAGUUCGAUCUGUUUCGGCCCAGUCAUCAUCUUCCUCAACGAGAGCCUCCGGCAACGUCGAGCAUCAUGCAGUCGAGGACUAGGGGUCUUCAUCAAGCCGGCGGCAGACGAAACCAACGCCUUCGUUAGAGAUCUCACCUCCGUCAAGACUUUGACGUCGGCGGCAUUUUCAAAGCGGCGGUGUCUUUCGACGAAGAGAGAGAGAGAGAGAGAGAGAAGGACUUCCUUCUUUUUGGGGCUGGAAGGCUGUUCUAGCUAGACGAACGCGACUGUAGCUUCCUAUCAAAACCAAAGCCAUACACAGGAAGCAAAACCUCAAUCAGUUACUAAUUCCGAUGCCGGCAAAGCUAGGAGAACCAAAAUCCAGAGGGAAAAGGACUUACUCGGAGCGAUUUGACGACGGAGUCCUUGUUAGGGCGGGUUUGACGGCGGAGCUGGUUGCCGAUUUGGUGACGAGUUGUCUGUGUGUGAUUAUGGACGAGAGAGAGAGAGAGAGAGAGAGAGAGAGAGAGAGAGAGAGAGAGUGUGUGUGUGUGUGAUUAUGGACGAGGGAGCUGAUUGUGGAUGAGAGAGUAAGGAGGGUAUUUUAGGUAUACUACAAUACUGGAGUUGGUGGAUGUAGGCUUAUAAGUGGACUUAUAUGGGUAAAAAAUUUAGGGUGGACUUAUGUAGAAGAAAAUGUCUCUAGGUAGACUUAUAUGAAAUUUUCUAUAAAAAAAAUAUGUAUUUAUAUAGCAAUUAACCUCACUUCCUGUGAGUGAGACUUUGAGCUGAAUAAGUAUCAAUAAUUCAAUAUAACAUUCUUUUCAUAAGCAAAUUACUUAAUUACAUGUGGUAUUUUUUUUAUUUUUUUCUUCAAAAAUUUUGAGUGGGACUUAAGUCCCAAAUUCUAACAUACUAGAUCCGCGCCCCAGCUGACCACCUCUUUCCAUCUCAAUCUGUGCCUACCAAGGUAGGUGAACAACGAAUCGUGAUUCACGCCAAGCCUGGUCAUCUAUUAUCCAAUAAUUAUAGCACCUGUCAAAUAACUGUUGUUACCAAAUUGGAACAUUGGCUGACACGUCAGGCCAAAAAUAUGUUGACGCUUUCCUUUUUGGAGAGUGGGAAGGUUGGAUCGUUGAUCCUUCUUUUAUAUGAAUUAAUAAGCACGAUUUUGCAACGUGUCAUCUGGGCAAAGCAAAUGAGGUCGUGUUCUCGACCAACAAAGUGACCACCAAAGCUUUGGAUCAUUAAGGAGACUUCAGGUUCAAGUAAGUCUUUGUUUUUCUCGUUGUUUAAUUAAGAAUUGGCCUUACCCGAGAUGAACAAAAAGCAAUAUAAACAUGCAUCGAUCUAACACGUUUUCUCCUUUUCUGUGUUACAAACUUGUAGAGAGAAUUUGAUCAAAAAAAGGAAAUAAAAAAAA